AACGAACGCUGGCGGCAUGCCUAACACAUGCCAGUCGAACGAGACCUUCGGGUCUAGUGGCGCACGGGUGCGUAACGCGUGGGAACCUGCCCUUAGGUUCGGAAUAACUCCCCGAAAGGGGUGCUAAUACCGGAUAAUGUCUUCGGACCAAAGAUUUAUCGCCUUUGGAUGGGCCCGCGUUGGAUUAGCUAGUUGGUAGGGUAAAAGCCUACCAAGGCGACGAUCCAUAGCUGGUCUGAGAGGAUGAUCAGCCACACUGGGACUGAGACACGGCCCAGACGGAGGGGGGGGGAAGAAGGGGGGAAUAUGGGACAAUGGGCGAAAGCCUGAUACAGAAAUGCGGCGGGGGUGAGGAAGGCUUUAGGUUUGUAAAGAUCUUUUACCGGGGAGGAUAAGGAAAGUACGGGGAGAAUAAGCUCCGGCAAACUCGGUGCCAGCAGCCGGAGUAAUAAUCGAAGAGAAAAUGCCGGAAC
This 473-nucleotide ribosomal RNA is filed under the name uncultured bacterium. Its description in RNAcentral is "partial 16S ribosomal RNA". It matches the Rfam family "Bacterial small subunit ribosomal RNA", at positions 34 to 540 of the family's 1533-position model. The record is from RNAcentral.